GAAUCAACGCUGGCGGCGCGCCUAACACAUGCAAGUCGAGCGAGAAAGGGGAGCAAUCCCUGAGUACAGCGGCGUACGGGUGAGUAACACGUGGAUAAUCUACCUCUUAGUGGGGAAUAACUCUGGGAAACCGGAGCUAAUACCGCAUGAGCCCUUCGGGGGAAAGCAGCAAUGCGCUGAGAGAGGAGUCCGCGGCCGAUUAGCUAGUUGGCAGGGUAAAAGCCUACCAAGGCAUCGAUCGGUAGCCGGCCUGAGAGGGCACACGGCCACACUGGCACUGAAACACGGGCCAGACUCCUACGGGAGGCAGCAAUGGGGAAUCUUGCACAAUGGGGGAAACCCUGAUGCAGCGACGCCGCGUGAGCGAUGAAGCCCUUCGGGGUGUAAAGCUCUUUCGGCAGGGAAGAUGAUGACGGUACCUGCAGAAGCAGCUGCGGCUAACUACGUGCCAGCAGCCGCGGUAAUACGUAGGCAGCAAGCGUUGUUCGGAGUUACUGGGCGUAAAGGGUGUGUAGGCGGUUGUUUAAGUUUGGUGUGAAAUCUCCCGGCUCAACUGGGAGGGUGCGCCGAAUACUGAAUGACUCGAGUACGGGAGAGGAAAGUGGAAUUCCUGGUGUAGCGGUGAAAUGCGUAGAUAUCAGGAGGAACACCGGUGGUGUAGACGGCUUUCUGGACCGUAACUGACGCUGAGACACGAAAGCGUGGGUAGCAAACAGGAUUAGAUACCCUGGUAGUCCACGCCCUAAACGAUGCAUAUUUGGUGUGGGCAGUUCAUUCUGUCCGUGCCGGAGCUAACGCGUUAAAUAUGCCGCCUGGGGAGUACAGUCGCAAGGCUGAAACUCAAAGGAAUUGACGGGGGCCCGCACAAGCGGUGGAGCAUGUGGUUCAAUUCGACGCAACGCGAAGAACCUUACCUGGGCUCGAACGGCUGGUCAACGGCAGUGGAAACAUUGCUACCCCGCAAGGGGGUCCAGUCGAGGUGCUGCAUGGCUGUCGUCAGCUCGUGUCGUGAGAUGUUGGGUUAAGUCCCGCAACGAGCGCAACCCUUGUGUCCUGUUGCCACUCGAACGAGAGUUCGAAGCACUCUGGACAGACUGCCUCGCUUAAACGAGGAGGAAGGUGGGGAUGACGUCAAGUCAGUAUGGCCCUUACGGCCAGGGCUGCACACGUACUACAAUGCCCGGUACAAAGGGAAGCGAGACCGCGAGGUGGAGCAAAUCCCCUAAAACCGGGCCCAGUUCAGAUUGAAGGCUGCAACUCGCCUCCGUGAAGCUGGAAUCGCUAGUAAUGGCGCAUCAGCUACGGCGCCGUGAUAACUCCCCAGCAUUCACUCACCACACAUACAGGCAUUCCGCCAAUCUGCACCACC
This 1369-nucleotide ribosomal RNA is filed under the name uncultured bacterium. Its description in RNAcentral is "bacterial SSU rRNA". It matches the Rfam family "Bacterial small subunit ribosomal RNA". The record is from RNAcentral.